AGUGAACGCUGGCGGUAGGCCUAACACAUGCAAGUCGAACGGCAGCACAGUAAGAGCUUGCUCUUACGGGUGGCGAGUGGCGGACGGGUGAGGAAUACAUCGGAAUCUACUUUUUCGUGGGGGAUAACGUAGGGAAACUUACGCUAAUACCGCAUACGACCUACGGGUGAAAGCAGGGGAUCUUCGGACCUUGCUCGAUUGAAUGAGCCGAUGUCGGAUUAGCUAGUUGGCGGGGUAAAGGCACACCAAGGCGACGAUCCGUAGCUGGUCUGAGAGGAUGAUCAGACACACUGGAACUGAGACACGGUCCAGACUCCUACGGGAGGCAGCAGUGGGGAAUAUUGGAAAAUGGGCGCAAGCCUGAUCCAGCCAUACCGCGUGGGUGAAGAAGGCCUUCGGGUUGUAAAGCCCUUUUGUUGGGAAAGAAAAGCAGCAGGUUAAUACCCCGCUGUUCUGACGGUACCCAAAGAAUAAGCACCGGCUAACUUCGUG
Molecule: ribosomal RNA, 492 nt
Filed under: uncultured bacterium
Lineage: Bacteria
Description: partial 16S ribosomal RNA
Rfam family: Bacterial small subunit ribosomal RNA
Source: RNAcentral